This is a non-coding RNA of Dermacentor andersoni, 1424 nucleotides long. The record is from RefSeq and is a predicted model, not a curated record. Lineage: Eukaryota; Metazoa; Arthropoda; Arachnida; Ixodida; Ixodidae.
AACUCAGCAUGUCUUUGCAGUCAGCACUUUAAUAAUAAAUUAAUUAAUUUUUUAUUUGUGGAUUUACAGGGUACAAAUAUGGGCCUGCCCAAGCCAACAGAUGGCUUGUGGGGCAGUGCCAACAUCCAUGCUGAUAGAGCAAGCACAGAAAGUGGAUGGAUCCCUGCGGUAUGCCUGACAAAACUGGGGCCGGACUGGAACUAAUGCUAUCGACGGAAACACUCUGCUGUUGCAAUCAAAGAUAUGCUUCUAUCCAGGAUAUUAAUGAAGUGUUCUUGAAUAUUGAUUUCAUUUUGACAAGCAGUUUAGGAUGGGACACGCGAUCAAAGGCUUUCUCGAAAUCUAAGAAUAUAAUGUCUACCUGGCCUUGCUUAUCUAAUGAUGCGGCAAAAUCAUGAACGGUUUCGAGCAAUUGUGUUACCGUUGACACAUUCUUGCGAAAACCAUGCUGUCUGGAAUCGAUCAGGUUGGAAUUUUCAAGGAACUCCGAUAUAUGUUUGAAAAUGACAUGUUCAAGUGUCUUCACACAUGUGCAUAAAAUGGAAAUAGGCCGGUAUAUCAUAAUUAUUAGUCAUUAGUCAUCCAUGGAUACGAAACAUACUGUGAUAUGUGCAAUAGGUUGAUUGAGUCUGUUUGAAGGAAAGCUGAGCAUAGCUUGUUUUUAAUGUUGUUGGAUGUCUAGCUCAACAGAAAGCUUGCAAAAGAUUCUUCCAAGUGCUUUAAAACCUGCUAUAUGCAGGCCUUGUGUCACGGAACUCUUUUACAGCUGCAAAGCUAGCUUUUCUGCGUGGUAUGGCAGCAGCAUAACUGUGCUGCGAAAGACAUGUACGCAAUGGAGCUAUAUGCGCUAUUCUUUUUUUGAACUCACGAUAGAGGUAAAAUGAGUGUAAUAGUUAUGUCGCCGAAUGCUAUGGUGGUUUCCACUUUCAAAAGAGUGCAGAAGCAAACUUUACAACAUACACAAUGAAACUGUUGUGUACUUUACGAACUCUAUAUAUAAACAAUGUGACUUAUGAUAAUCUGCAAGAUCUGUGCUGUUUGCUACUGCCUGAAGAAGACAGCAGUAGAGGCUAUUUAACAAUAUUUUAGAGAGCAGUGGACUGGCAUGCACCGACGUUUUUCAGGCUCGGGCGGUCAACUUUUGGAGCCAAGGGACCUUUCAAAGCCUUGUGAGCUCACUGUCACUGUGUUCACAAUAAUCAACUAGCCAAGCAGUUCGUCAUAACACAGCAGUUCAGAAUCAGAAUCAGUUUUAUUUUCCUCAAGGAAAGGAAAAAUGGACCCAAGACAUAAAGCUGCUCAUUGAGCAGCUUGACGAGGCCUGAGGCCCUACAGGCAGUGGCAACAGUGGCAAAACAGCAGUGUAUGUCGUAAACCCAUACUAGAAAAAAAGAAAAGCAACUCGAGAAACAAAAAACUAAAAA